UCAGUGAGGGGAAUAACAUUUAAUACACAUUUCAUAUAUUUCAGAUAUUAUUUGCAAGAUGAUUUAUCUUGAUAUGCAUAUACAUAUACAUACUUACUAAACAUAUUAUCAUAACGUAGUGGAUUACAUGUCAGAGAACAGAUGACACCCGAAGGUGACCAGAUGACACCCGUCGGUGACCAGAUGACACCCGUCGGUGACCACUGUGGGAUGAUCAAUCACCACAGGCUGAUGCCUCUCUCACCAGCUAGGUAACAGAAUACUAUGUGCACACAGGCUAACUAUUCUCCGUUAGCAUGGAGUUACUGACAAGUCCCAUAUCAAGGCAUAAUAGAUAUUCACAUAAUCAUCAAAGAAGCGUAUAUCAUAUCAAAUAGAAUUUACUUUGACAGAUUGCGAAUGCAAAUUCAAGAAUAAAUGAGUACUCGGAAAAUAAAGCAACAUAUAUAAAUAUUCAAGAAACUUACUAGUCGUACUCAUUGUAUAAUCAACAUACAUAUUUAUUUAUAUUAUAUGCAUAUUAAAGAUUAUUCCACUCACCC
Molecule: long non-coding RNA, 542 nt
Filed under: Populus tremula
Lineage: Eukaryota; Viridiplantae; Streptophyta; Magnoliopsida; Malpighiales; Salicaceae
Description: long non-coding RNA (PTRE_LNC000271)
Source: RNAcentral